CGUGUAGGCGGGAAGGUAAGUCAGAUGUGAAAUUCCAGGGCUCAACCCUGGCGCUGCAUCUGAAACUAUUUUUCUUGAGUGCUGGAGAGGAAAGCGGAAUUCCUAGUGUAGCGGUGAAAUGCGUAGAUAUUAGGAGGAACACCAGUGGCGAAGGCGGCUUUCUGGACAGUAACUGACGCUGAGGCGCGAAAGCGUGGGGAGCAAACAGGAUUAGAUACCCUGGUAGUCCACGCUGUAAACGAUGGAUACUAGGUGUAGGAGGUAUCGACCCCUUCUGUGCCGGAGUUAACACAAUAAGUAUCCCACCUGGGGAGUACGGCCGCAAGGUCGAA
Molecule: ribosomal RNA, 332 nt
Filed under: uncultured bacterium
Lineage: Bacteria
Description: bacterial SSU rRNA
Rfam family: Bacterial small subunit ribosomal RNA
Source: RNAcentral